AAAAAAAUGAAUCUUUUUAGCUCAAAACAACAACUUAACAAAAGAAAAAUGAAAUUUAUGAACCAAAAACAAGAACCCCACAGAAAGAAAUGAAUCUUUCUAGCUCAAAACAACAACUUAACCUAAAAAAAAAUGAUAUUUUUAACAGAAAACGAGAACCCCACUGAAAAAAAUUGAAUCUUUUUAGCUCAAAAACAACACCUUAGCAUAAAAAAAUGAAAUCUUUAGACAGAAAUCGAG
Molecule: unclassified non-coding RNA, 240 nt
Filed under: Hevea brasiliensis (rubber tree)
Lineage: Eukaryota; Viridiplantae; Streptophyta; Magnoliopsida; Malpighiales; Euphorbiaceae
Source: RNAcentral